CGUAAUGGCGGCUGUGCGUGGGGCACCUUCGUGUGCGCCGGGUUUCUUCGUUUACCGGUCUGUCAACCCGCGUACAGCUGCCACCCCU
Non-coding RNA from Pseudomonas sp., 88 nucleotides. Lineage: Bacteria; Pseudomonadati; Pseudomonadota; Gammaproteobacteria; Pseudomonadales; Pseudomonadaceae. The record is from Rfam.